GGAUGGAUGCCCUGUGCAAGUCUAUUCAGGAAAAGAUAUGAGAAAACUUGUCUUGUUCCGAAAAUGCUUGAAGAUGGAACGAUGUGACACAGCCGGUAAGAUAUCAAACUGCGUGAAGGACAGCCAAUAGAGCAACCAUUGACCUUUGGCAAUGGAUUUGGAAUGAGGAAGCACACGUACACCCUAUAGCUCAUAAAACCGACUCGCCUGCGAUGAGUAAUGUAUGGCAAAAACGUCAGCAUGACCAAGCACAGAAAACAUGUUUCUUUAGUUAGAGUUGAAGACUGGAAUCUCCUGCAGCACACCUGAUGUCGAUUGAAACUCAACUGGGGUGUAGGUGCAGCAAUGGCUGAAAGGAGGAGGU
Molecule: long non-coding RNA, 364 nt
Organism: Syngnathoides biaculeatus (alligator pipefish)
Lineage: Eukaryota; Metazoa; Chordata; Actinopteri; Syngnathiformes; Syngnathidae
Exons: 3
Source: RefSeq, a predicted model, not a curated record